This 549-nucleotide long non-coding RNA is filed under the name Helianthus annuus (common sunflower). The record is from RNAcentral. Lineage: Eukaryota; Viridiplantae; Streptophyta; Magnoliopsida; Asterales; Asteraceae.
CACAAUAUAUGGAAGAAUACCUUCAUACUCUCAAUUUCAAAAUCAAAUUACCACUUUGAACGAAGCACUGACUUACACGACCGUCGACUACCGAAGACCCACCGCUGCACCUACGUAGCGCCACCGCCUCUGUUUUCCGAAAAUAUAACCGUGCACUCACCAUAAGCACCACCCCCGCCACCCUCGUUCGGAGGCUUAACAAUUAACGAGCCGCCGCGUAGUCGUCGAUGUGUUAACCGUAAGGACCAGCCACCACCGCCUGUCCGUAAGACCGUAACGUCAUCUGCUCAGUGAGUUUGUAUAUACUGUGUGUGUCAUGAGACGACUUAAUUUGUGGAUUUUUGCUUUGUUUGCUAAACUAAGAUAGAUUCAACAUUUGAGGGGGAGCUCAUACUAGUUUGGAGAAACUUAAAAACUGUCAAAUUUCAAAGUGAAAGAGUCUGUUGGUGAUGAAGAUAGAGAGAGAGAAGCCCAAGGACUGAUCAAGACCGAAGACGUGUAGCUUCUACAGUGAUCAAUGGUCGACUCCAUCAACAUCUGAGGGGGAGU